RNAcentral lists this long non-coding RNA (211 nucleotides) under Anas platyrhynchos platyrhynchos (common mallard). Its description in RNAcentral is "lncRNA (ENSAPLG00000018278.1)". The record is from RNAcentral. Lineage: Eukaryota; Metazoa; Chordata; Aves; Anseriformes; Anatidae.
UGCAGAGGUCACUCCUGUGGGGUUUCUCAACACACCUGCUGUGGGACCAACCUCUGAUUAAUAGGAUCACAGUGAGACUCAACGGACCAUAGAGAUGCUCUGAUUAGAAAUCCUCUCAUUAACCAAAGAGUUCCAGGAAAUAAAUCAAAUUAAAACCCAGAGCAAGUUUUGCUUGCACCUUCCAUGCAAGUUAUGGUGGCCACGUGGAAAG